Molecule: long non-coding RNA, 940 nt
Filed under: Pongo abelii (Sumatran orangutan)
Lineage: Eukaryota; Metazoa; Chordata; Mammalia; Primates; Hominidae
Description: lincRNA
Source: RNAcentral
AGAGAGGGAGCAAUAAAGGAUGUCUAAGGUCAUCAGCAACUUAAAGCCAACAGCAUCAUCCUGAGUCAUAUUUGAACCUGAGGGAAAGAAACAUAUGUUCGAAGAGAUUCUGAGGCUGCUGCACCCGAUAUCAUACCUGGUUGGCCCUGGGAAAGGGCCCGCCUCCAAUACAUAAACACAACCAGCUUUGACAAUGAGCCCUGAAGCACGGCAUUGAGAAGCCGCCUAAGAAGGAGGCAGGUCCAUCAGCCUUGGUGCCCGACUGAUUACCCUGAGCAGAGCUCCCCAGCCCACCUGUGAUGGACACAUGGAGCUUGAGCAAGGAAUAAAUUUUUGUUGCUGGACUCUGUGAUUACACUGGACCUAUCCAAGAUCCGAGAUAAUCAACUCAUCUCAAAAUCCUUAAGUUGACCACAGCAGCAUCGUCCCUUUUGCAGUGUAAGGGAGCCCAGCUGGGACAGUGUGUGAAUCAACGCAUGAAGGAGUGAGUGAGCAGCUAACCAAAUGAAGGAACACUCAAAUAUCUGGGGUACAGUUCCCCUCCAGGUUUGCACAGCAUCUGCUGAAGUCUCCACUAGAAACUCAGUGGAAGGUCCCUAUCAGAAACUGAAAGUCUCCUAGAACAGCUUUGAGUUGUGGUUUUACCCUCCCUGCAGAUCCACAGGGGAGGCUGGGGCAGAUGAAAAAUACCAACUUGAGGGUCUGUGGCCACACCAUGCUGCUCCCCAAGGUGCCUCAGACUUUCACUGCCCAAUAUGGUAGCGCCCAGCCUGAAACGUGGCCAGUGUGAAUUGAGAUGGGCUGUAAAUAUAUCAGACUUCCAAGAGUUGGACAAAAACCAUAUAUGUAAAAUAUCUUAUUUUUACAUAUUUAUACUGAUGACACUAUGAAAUCAUAUUUAGGGUAUUUUCUGUUACAUAAAAUACAUUGCUAAAAUUAA